UUCCCCCGCGUCGCCCUCUCUCCUUCUUUUUCCGAUUUCUUCACCGUCCGGCGUCCGAUUGACGUGAUUCCAGUUGUCCUUGGACCGUCUCUUCCUCCUCUACACGAUGGUACCAGUGGGUAUCGGCGAUUCGGCCGGCAAACCCCGAAUUUAUGCAAGCAUUGUUACUGUAGCAGUUUGUUUCUCCGGCGAAAUUCUCCAGUUUCCGGCUAUCUUCGGCGGUGAAAUUGGCUCUAUUAGGAGCGCCUCGGGUCACUGAUCAUCUUCCCUCAAGACUUCUAGUUGGAAUUUCCACGUUUGGAAGGUGAAUUUGAAGGAUUUCCAAAUUUGUGGGUUUGGAGAUUUCCGGGUUUGUGUUCAUCGGCAAAAUUGGAGCAUUUCAAGGGCGAUAUACCGAACUAUUGCUCGAUGAAGGAACUCGUAUGCGUGAUCGCCUAAAUAGUACUUUUGCAGGCCAGUUUAGCUUGAGGUCGAGCGUACUUGGGGUUGAGGCAUAGCUGUCAUAGCUUCCGCAUUAUAAAAGCAUCGGUCAUUUAUCUUGCUUUCUAUUCUCUUGUUCGCCUGUACAUUAGAUUGCUCUGAUAACCUAUGAGAUUAAUAUUCUUAAAUUCAGAAUUGUUUAUGAAAUGAGAUAUGUGAGAUGUUGUGAUAUAGGGAGCAGGGUGGCUCCAGGAGAAUAAGGAUGGAUGAUUUAGAAGUGUGGAUGUUUUUCUACAGGUUUUGGGUUGUCCAUUUUUAGGGGAAGUUCUGUCAAAUUUUUGGUAGAAUUUCUUCUAAAGUGGGCCCCGCAGGGCCUCUUCGGAUUUCAGGGUGAAAUCCGGGGCGGGUCCUGUCAUUUGACUCCGAUUGUAACGACUCUGGUUGCAGCCCGGGACCGGAGAUACAAUCAAGUUGCGAUUUCCGAGAUGAUCAGUCGCCGGCGAGAGAGACAGAAGCAAAUCGAAUACGUACCCGAUUCUACUGGCGGUCGUAGAUUCCUUCAGAAGGUCCAACCCGGCCUCGCCGAGCUUCUCAGCGACGAGGACCGUCGGUUUGGCGUCGAGCCUGGCCGCGAAGAGCACGACGACGAGUUUCGGCGCGGCGAUGGUGAGAGCCGGCGUCGUGGGCGACCAGCUGGAGGGAUGGAGGGAGGGAGAGAGAGAUCCGACGUCGUCUGGAGAGAGAGAGAGAGAGAGAUAGAGAAAUCAGUGAGGGGGGGAGGAGAGAGAAAUCGGUGGGGGAGAGAGAGAGACUGAGAGGAGAGAGAUUGAUCAGGGCAAAACAGUCCAAAAAUAUGAAGAAAACAGGUCCAACUCUUAGAGUUUUGGGUAAGUGGAGUUUAAAAAUAAAAAUUGUUGUGUAAGUGGGCAAUCUCUUAGAGUGUUUGGGUAAAUGGGGUUAAUUAACCCCAAAAUUGGGUAAAUGAUCAUUUCCCCAAAAAUUAAUUCCAGAAUUUAAUUUCCAAUAUGUUCCAAACACCCACAUGGAAAUUCCAAAACCUAUUCCAUUCCAUAUCAGUUUGGAAAGGAAAAUAAAUCAUUUUCCUGUUUCGACAUUCCGGCCAACCGAACGGGGCAUUAAGGAAAACUAUGGUCUAGAGUACCUGAGAAGGACUUAGAUACAGGAAUUAUCAUCUAGAGAAACACAAGAAUCUGUUAAUUGCAUUGAAACAUAAAUAAGAUUGUUAGUGGUUGAUUCUGAAACCUUAGGUUUUAUCAUUAUUUGUUUGUUUCUUUCUUUCUUUAAUUUUCACAUUAUUUGUUUAGUCGAAAACCUUAAAACCAUAUCUUCUUUAGUUUGAUUGUUUAUGUGUUUGGAUUAAUUAGGUUAGGAUUUAAAUUAAUUAUCAAUCCUCUGUUGGAACGACCCCGUACUUGCACACUAUACUGUAAUCUGUACCAUCAACAGACGGUACCGCAGCACACAGUUAAAUUCCAAGGUUUCUUGAAUGAUAGAUUAGUUCGUUCCAGUAUAAACCUUAGCUAAAACAUUCCCUUGUUACCACCAUAAUAUCAUUUUUUUUUUUAUUGGAACCAUAGUAUCCUAUGGAAUAGAGAAUGUAGUGAAACAAAUAGAUCAAUAGAUUCAGAUCAGAUGAAUUGAUAAUAGAAUUGUAUCAUCUAAUUGGUUCCUAAGAGAAAGUGUGGAACUACUAGCUCUAACCUCGUAAGUCAUGCUAUCAGGGUCAAUGUUGUCUUCCAAAAUAACCUGCAUAUUUCACAGCACAAAAGCUUCUAUUUAUUAACAUUUUAAACUAUCGUGAUGCUUCUUAGAUAAACACAAACUUAUAAAAUAGUUUUAAGGCAACACUACAACAAAUAUGGCCUAUAGAUACCAUUCAAUCCCCACAAUUACAUCAAUGGUGACAGCACCCAAAAAAUACUCACCAUUCCUUUUUUUUCUUUGGUCCGACACUCACCAAAGCCCACAAACGUGUCCCUGCAAUCUAAAACAAAUAUUUGUCUAACUAUUCACAACUCACCAAACGCGUCUUUGUGUAUAUCAAUCAAGGGCAAAGCCCUCUCCUCAGAAACAAAACGCUAAUUCCUGUUUGGAUCUCUCUCUCUCGUCCUCCUUCUCCUUCCUGUAUCUCUCGAUCUCUCAAUCAUGAACAAGGUAGUAGAUCCAAAAUCCAUGCAGAUCCCCCACUAUCGAUUUUGGAUCUGCUCCGAUGGUGAAGUUUCUGCUGGAGCAUUUGGAGAAAUCUGGGUGUGGGAUAUUAGACGGGUCUUGCUGGGCCGUUCAUUGCGAGAAGAAGAUUGCCGGAGUAUACACCCGCCGCGGAUGGAAAAGCUCAUUUCUUUACUAGUUUUUCAGUGUUGUUCAUCACUAUUGGCUUCUUUCAUGUUGGUUAUCCAAGAUCUUCUGGUAUACUGGUAUCUGACCGCCCAUAUAUUCUUUUCAGAUACAUGCAUAUUUCAGUUCCAGGCAAUCAGUACAGGAUAUUUGCAAACUCUAGUAAUAAUGGAACCAGUGAGCAACCUCUUGGUAUAUUACCUCAUCAAAUCCGUGGUUCCCUUGGACAGUUUUCGGAGAUGACACUUGUGGGCCACUCCUCAGACAGUUUUGCACGACUUGCUGCAGCGCGCAUUAAACUGAGGCUUUGUAAUAUAACAAAGGAGGAGUAGGAUAAGGGCCUCUGAAGAAUUAUUAUUCUCUGUGGACAUGGCAGCUUGGAGACUCUCCUCCUUACUCUCCCACUCUCUCUCUGCUGGGUCUGCUUCUAAGCUUCUCUCUCAAGGUGCAGGCAAAUGGUAUGGCAGCAUACUUUGUGACAUUGACUACAUAUCUUGGCCUUUGGUGUGGCAGAAUAUUACUUGCGUGACAUACUUUCUCCACCAAAUGGUAUGGCAGAAUAUUACUUUGCUUGACAGUUUCUUCUGGAUAUCAGACGUAUAUAAGUCAUCCAUGGAGGAGAAGAGGAAAUUGCAGAUACCAUGCCUAGAAUUAAGGCUGCCAAGAAUUGUUCUUUUCAGAGAAUUGAAUUUGUAUAUUAAUUUUAAUUUUUUUUUAAUAUGAAAUAUUGCAGUCACCAUUGCUAGAAUAGUGUGUUUUCUGGUCAUGGGGCCCACAGUUUGAAAGUCACCAAAAAAUAUGAUAGUGCCUUUUUGAGUCUUUGUCACGCCAGCAAUGGCAACCCUUCAAAUUUUGGUGUCUAAGAUGGUGGCUAUUGCCAUUACACACCAAUCAUAUUUGUCUUUUACUUCAAUCCACACCGUUGUGAAUGGUGUUUAUAGCUCA
RNA transcript from Rosa rugosa (rugosa rose), 3720 nucleotides. RefSeq lists it as uncharacterized. NCBI's taxonomy places the organism in Eukaryota, Viridiplantae, Streptophyta, Magnoliopsida, Rosales, Rosaceae. The transcript is spliced from 8 exons. The record is from RefSeq and is a predicted model, not a curated record.